Long non-coding RNA from Anguilla rostrata (American eel), 300 nucleotides. RefSeq lists it as uncharacterized. The record is from RefSeq and is a predicted model, not a curated record. NCBI's taxonomy places the organism in Eukaryota, Metazoa, Chordata, Actinopteri, Anguilliformes, Anguillidae. The transcript has 4 exons.
UAUGGUCUCUCUCUCUGUACAGUAUAGCUGUGUACGGUCUCUCUCUCUGUACAGUAUAGCUGUCUGUGUACGGUCUCUCUGUACAGUAUAGCUGUGUACGGUCCCCCUCUCUGUACAGUAUAGCUGUGUAUGGUCUCUCUCUCUGUACAGUAUAGCUGUCUGUGUAUGGUCUCUCUGUACAGUAUAGCUGUGUAUGGUCUCUCUCUCUGUACAGUACAGCUGUGUACGGUCUCUCUCUCUGUACAGUAUAGCUGUGUAUGGUCUCUCUCUGUACAGUAUAGCUGUGUACGGUCCCCCUCU